Molecule: long non-coding RNA, 479 nt
Filed under: Apteryx owenii (little spotted kiwi)
Lineage: Eukaryota; Metazoa; Chordata; Aves; Apterygiformes; Apterygidae
Description: lncRNA (ENSAOWG00000008765.1)
Source: RNAcentral
CUCAAGACAGUCUCUAAUCAUUUUCUUGACCAAGGGACAAAAUUAGUAUUUUACUCAUCAUAUAUAUUAUUGUCUUCUCAGCAGCAGAAGUGUUCUCACUUGGUGUCUGUAACUUGAUCUCACAUUUAACCUUCUCCCUCUGCAAUUGCUCCUGUAGCAUGACCUUUGAAGGGACUUAUUCAUCUUCUCCGUGACCCAGCAUUCAGCAGAGACUUUGCAGUCUUAUUUCCUCUAUGCCUUUGAAUAAUCCACACAGGAGAAGAGAAAGUCCUUUCAGCUUCUUUCUGUGGCUCCAGAUUCAUGAGUUUGGCUCUUCCCAUGGAUGCACGCUGUCCACCCAGCUGACAACAGGUAAAUCAUCAGCUACUCUCAGCAUCAUUUUCUACUGUAUUCUGAAACAUGGAAAAGGCAGCUCAUGGCCGAGUUCAAUUUGAGGUACGUAGAAGAAGAUGCGAACAGGAUGAAAGAAGAGCCCUGUG